UACGAAGGGGGCUAGCGUUGCUCGGAAUUACUGGGCGUAAAGGGCGCGUAGGCGGAUACUUAAGUUGGGGGUGAAAGCCCGGGGCUCAACCUCGGAAUUGCCUUCAAUACUGGGUAUCUUGAGUUCGGGAGAGGUGAGUGGAACUCCGAGUGUAGAGGUGAAAUUCGUAGAUAUUCGGAAGAACACCAGUGGCGAAGGCGACUCACUGGCCCGAUACUGACGCUGAGGCGCGAAAGCGUGGGGAGCAAACAGG
RNAcentral lists this ribosomal RNA (253 nucleotides) under uncultured bacterium. RNAcentral describes it as "partial 16S ribosomal RNA". It matches the Rfam family "Bacterial small subunit ribosomal RNA", at positions 524 to 776 of the family's 1533-position model. The record is from RNAcentral.